RNAcentral lists this ribosomal RNA (404 nucleotides) under uncultured bacterium. Its description in RNAcentral is "bacterial SSU rRNA". It matches the Rfam family "Bacterial small subunit ribosomal RNA", at positions 373 to 769 of the family's 1533-position model. The record is from RNAcentral.
GGACGAAAGUCUGACGGAGCAACGCCGCGUGAGUGAAGAAGGUUUUCGGAUCGUAAAACUCUGUUGUCAGAGAAGAACAAGUUGGAGAGUAACUGCUCCAGCCUUGACGGUAUCUGACCAGAAAGCCACGGCUAACUACGUGCCAGCAGCCGCGGUAAUACGUAGGUGGCAAGCGUUGUCCGGAUUUAUUGGGCGUAAAGCGAGCGCAGGCGGUUCCUUAAGUCUGAUGUGAAAGCCCACGGCUCAACCGUGGAAGGUCAUUGGAAACUGGGGAACUUGAGUGCAGAAGAGGAGAGUGGAAUUCCAUGUGUAGCGGUGAAAUGCGUAGAUAUAUGGAGGAACACCAGUGGCGAAGGCGACUCUCUGGUCUGUAACUGACGCUGAGGCUCGAAAGCGUGGGGAGC